Long non-coding RNA from Xenia sp. Carnegie-2017, 2053 nucleotides. RefSeq lists it as uncharacterized. Lineage: Eukaryota; Metazoa; Cnidaria; Anthozoa; Malacalcyonacea; Xeniidae. The transcript has 3 exons. The record is from RefSeq and is a predicted model, not a curated record.
AGUUCAACAAGUUGAACUUUCAAAACGACAAGAUGACGCUUACGCUACUAGCUAGUAACCACGCAAAGCGGAAGUUUUAGACGCGCGACUAAAGCGACUGCCUAGUGUGUUUCAGCCUUUAAGCCCGCCGCACAAUGGUGAACUUGCCGCACGUACUUGUUAUUCGUGACAAGUGCGAUAAACAAAAGUUCCUAGUGUGCGCGGAAGUUUUGAACAACAUUUGUCAUUCGUGACAGAUGAGUCAAAUAUCAAACGCGUUUGAUAUUUUUUGUCACGAGUGACAAAAAGUCCUAGUGUGCGGAGAGCAAGCAGCAAGUGCGCUGUAAAUGACAAAAAUGCGCACGCGCGAGAUUAAGAAAACAAAAUGGCAGAUUUGUUGAAUGCAUUAAAUUCAUUGUUGGACGACGACGAUUUCUCAGAGGACGAAGAAGCGCUGCUACUACUUUUAUUGCUACGAAGACGUCGUAGAAGGUUAAGGGCAGCAAAUCGUAAAAUAUGGACGAAACAGUUGCUCUUAAGAAGAAAAAACACAAGGUGUCUGUGAUAAUUUAUUGAGAGCUAGCAGUAGAAGAUCCUGAACAGUUCCGUCAGUAUCAUAGAUUGGACAGGCAAUCAUUUGAAGAUAUUUUGAAGAUUGUUUUUCCAUACAUUGUGAAACAAGGCACGUAAACGAGGACAGCGUUAAAACCUCGCGAAAGACUGGGAGUAACCCUGCGAUUUCUUGCAACAGGUGAAACAUUUUGUAGUCUGUCAUUCCAGUUUAGAAUUGGCGAGCGUACAAUUUCGAAUAUUGUUGAGGAAACAUGCCAUGCUUUGUAUAUCUCGUUAAAGGAAACAUGUUUGGAGGCAAGUUAUUAAACAUUCAUAACAAAUAUCGGUAGUAUUAUUAACAAUAAAUGUUUACAUCCAUUAAGAGCUCAUGUUGUCAUAGGCAGAAGUGUCUUGACCUGAAUUAAGCUCUCUAGAAAUUGGUGAAGACCAUAUAUUAACAACAGGACGGCUCAAUCCACCAUCUAUUGGGGAAGAUGUGUUGUAUCGAUAACUAUUUGUCAUAUGAUUGCUGAUGGGGUGCAUGUUGUUUUGUGCAUAAGGUGUUUGAAACAUAUGUUGGUGCAUAGCUACUGGCACUCUUGUGCUUUGAUGUACUCCAUCUUGUGCAGAAGAAUGGAAGGCUGUUGCAGACGAAUUUGAAAAAAAAUGGAACUAUCCUGGCUGCAUUGGAGCUCUAGAUGUGAAACACAUAGCCAUACAACAACCAAAUAGUAGUGGAUCAGAAUUUUUAAACUACAAGCAUUUUUUCAGUGUUUUGCUUUUAGCUCUAGUAGAUGCAAACUACAAGUUUGUCUAUGUUAGUGUUGGAGCAGCAGGCCGUGCAGGAGAUGCUGGCAUGUAUAACGAGUCUAGCUUGCGAAAAGCUGUUGUUGAAAAUACUCUUGGUCUACCAUUACCAAUUGAAAUUCAUGCAUGACAAAUUUGAAUCCAUUCAACACAGACAGAAAUACUUCUAAUAGUGCCAAAAUGCAACGUGAAAUUCUGACGACAUAUUUUAACACUUGUGGAGCUGUAUCAUGGCAGGACAACAUUAUCUAGCAGUAGCACUUACUCUUAAUUAUAUAUAUAUAUAUAUAUAUGUUGUGCUAAAUAUUAAUUGUUUGGAAAAUCAAAAUAAAACAAGAAUUUCACUUACAGUAACAAUAUUUGAAAUGGGAACUCUUGUUGCCACGAAAGGAGAGAGGAACUUCAGUUUAUCCAGCAACCAGCUACCUCGCUUCGUAAGAUUUUUGCGAGCGCUACCACUUGGAGGAGGUUUUUUGACUCGUGUGUAAGCUGUAAGCAUUUCUCAAUGCUUUUAUUUAAGCCUUGACCCUAUCAACUAAGUAUGAAAUUGACGUGUAAGUUCCAUUGCGACUAUUGAUUAUAUUUUCCAGCAAAUAAAUCUCUGCUCAACAGCGUGAACUGAAUAAAAGAACUAAAAGAUUGGAGAAUGACUAUAUAACAAACACUUAUAAAGUCGAUAUUUAUUAUUAACAAAUAACAACCUGUUUGCCCAAGA